GUCCUUCCUUUCUGAGCAUGGUGAUUGGGUGUUCAUUGGGUAUUUAGAGGUAGAUGUGGCUCUCUCUAAACCUUGUUACAACUGCAGCACAUUACACUUCUGACG
Molecule: small nucleolar RNA, 105 nt
Organism: Sciurus carolinensis (gray squirrel)
Lineage: Eukaryota; Metazoa; Chordata; Mammalia; Rodentia; Sciuridae
Product: small nucleolar RNA U13
Exons: 1
Source: RefSeq, a predicted model, not a curated record